Molecule: ribosomal RNA, 639 nt
Filed under: Clostridioides difficile
Lineage: Bacteria; Bacillati; Bacillota; Clostridia; Peptostreptococcales; Peptostreptococcaceae
Description: partial 23S ribosomal RNA
Rfam family: Bacterial large subunit ribosomal RNA
Source: RNAcentral
GGAGCCAUCCUUGGGAUACCACCCUUGUAGUACUGGGACUCUAACCAUAGGCCAUGAAUCUGGUCUUGGGACACUGUCAGGUGGGCAGUUUGACUGGGGCGGUCGCCUCCCAAAAGGUAACGGAGGCGCUCAAAGGUUCUCUCAGUACGGUCGGAAAUCGUACGUAGAGUGUAAAGGCAAAAGAGAGCUUGAUUGCAAGACAUACAGGUCGAGCAAGGAUGAAAAUCGGACUUAGUGAUCCGGUGGUUCUGCGUGGAAGGGCCAUCGCUCAACGGAUAAAAGCUACCCUGGGGAUAACAGGCUUAUCUCCCCCAAGAGUCCACAUCGACGGGGAGGUUUGGCACCUCGAUGUCGGCUCAUCACAUCCUGGGGCUGUAGUAGGUCCCAAGGGUUGGGCUGUUCGCCCAUUAAAGUGGUACGCGAGCUGGGUUCAGAACGUCGUGAGACAGUUCGGUCCCUAUCCGUCGCAGGCGUAGGAAAUUUGAGAAGACCUGUCCUUAGUACGAGAGGACCGGGAUGGACGUACCUCUGGUGUACCAGUUGUUCUGCCAAGGGCAUGGCUGGGUAGCUAUGUACGGAAUGGAUAAGCGCUGAAAGCAUCUAAGCGCGAAGCCAACUUCAAGAUAAGAUUUCCCACCG